This 70-nucleotide microRNA precursor is filed under the name Podarcis lilfordi (Lilford's wall lizard). The record is from RNAcentral. Lineage: Eukaryota; Metazoa; Chordata; Lepidosauria; Squamata; Lacertidae.
UUGGUGUGUGGGUGUGUGGGUGUGUGGGUGUGUGUGUACACACACACACACACACACACACACACAUAUA